This 72-nucleotide transfer RNA is filed under the name Podarcis lilfordi (Lilford's wall lizard). RNAcentral's name for it is "tRNA.Lys". The stretch from base 5 to 61 matches the Rfam family "tRNA", at positions 8 to 63 of the family's 71-position model. From Rfam's summary of the family: Transfer RNA (tRNA) molecules are approximately 80 nucleotides in length. Lineage: Eukaryota; Metazoa; Chordata; Lepidosauria; Squamata; Lacertidae. The record is from RNAcentral.
UGGAUAGCUCAGUCAGUAGAGCGUGAGACUCUUAAUCUCAGGGUCAGGGGUUCGAGCCUCACAUUGGGAAAA